AACGAACGCUGGCGGCAUGCCUAACACAUGCAAGUCGAACGAGACCUUCGGGUCUAGUGGCGCACGGGUGCGUAACGCGUGGGAACCUGCCCUUAGGUUCGGAAUAACUCCCCGAAAGGGGUGCUAAUACCGGAUAAUGUCUUCGGACCAAAGAUUUAUCGCCUUUGGAUGGGCCCGCGUUGGAUUAGCUAGUUGGUAGGGUAAAAGCCUACCAAGGCGACGAUCCAUAGCUGGUCUGAGAGGAUGAUCAGCCACACUGGGACUGAGACACGGCCCAGACUCCUACGGGAGGCAGCAGUGGGGAAUAUUGGACAAUGGGCGAAAGCCUGAUCCAGCAAUGCCGGGUGAAUGAUGAAGGCCUUAGGGUUGUAAAGCUCUUUUAACCGGGAUGAUAAUGACAGUACCGGGAGAAUAAGCUCCGGCUAACUCCGUG
Molecule: ribosomal RNA, 433 nt
Filed under: uncultured bacterium
Lineage: Bacteria
Description: partial 16S ribosomal RNA
Rfam family: Bacterial small subunit ribosomal RNA
Source: RNAcentral